Molecule: ribosomal RNA, 446 nt
Filed under: uncultured bacterium
Lineage: Bacteria
Description: partial 16S ribosomal RNA
Rfam family: Bacterial small subunit ribosomal RNA
Source: RNAcentral
CCUACGGGUGGCAGCAGUCGAGAAUCAUUCACAAUGGGGGAAACCCUGAUGGUGCGACGCCGCGUGGGGGAAUGAAGGUCUUCGGAUUGUAAACUCCUGUCAUGUGGGAGCAAAUUAAAAAGAUAGUACCACAAGAGGAAUAGACGGCUAACUCUGUGCCAGCAGCCGCGGUACUACAGAGGUCUCAAGCGUUGUUCGGCAUCACUGGGCGUAAAGCGUGCGUAGGCUGUUUCGUAAGUCGUGUGUGAAAGGCGCGGGCUCAACCCGCGGACGGCAGAUGAUACUGGGAUGCUAGAGUAAUGGAGGGGGAGCCGGAAUUCGCGGUGUAGCAGUGAAAUGCGUAGAUAUGGAGAGGAACACUCGUGGCGAAGGCGGGUUGCUGGACAUUAACUGACGCUGAGGCACGAAGGCCAGGGGAGCGAAAGGGAUUAGAUACCCUAGUAGUC